This 468-nucleotide ribosomal RNA is filed under the name uncultured bacterium. Its description in RNAcentral is "partial 16S ribosomal RNA". It matches the Rfam family "Bacterial small subunit ribosomal RNA", at positions 28 to 507 of the family's 1533-position model. The record is from RNAcentral.
GACGAACGCUGGCGGCGUGCUUAACACAUGCAAGUCGAACGGAAAGGCCUCUUUCGGGGGGUUCUUCGGUUGGCGACGGGUGGGUUACCAGUUGGUUAACCUCCCCUUGACUUGGGAUUAAUUCCGGGAACUUGGGGCAAUUACUGGAUGGAACUUCUUCCUCCUGGGUGGGGUUGGAAAGUUUUCGGCGGUUGGGGUUGGAUUCGCGGCUUAUCAGCUUGUUGGUGGGGUAGUGGCUUACCAAGGCUUUGACGGGUAGCCGGCCUGAGAGGGUGACCGGCCACAUUGGGACUGAGAUACGGCCCAGACUCCUACGGGAGGCAGCAGUGGGGAAGAUUGCACAAUGGGUGGAAGCCUGAUGCAGCAACGCCGUGGGCGGGAGGACGGCCUUCGGGUUGUAAACCGCUUUCGCUCAUGACGAAGCUUUGUGUGACGGUAGUGGGUAAAGAAGCACCGGCUAACUACGUG